UCCCUAUAGAAGAAUAAGUCCACCUGUUUAUGGAAAAGAAAUAAAUGACAACAUAAUAAUCCUAAAAAGUAAGGAAUUGUUGCAACCAACUUAUACUAACAAUUCAGCAAGAAGCGUAUAAAAGCUCAACACAAAGAUUACACUUUAAUGAGAUUAAGGGAAAAUCAUACAACUCCUUCACAACCAUGUGCAUACAAAUAACGUGUUUGUAAAAACUAGCAAUCAGAAGAGUGCACCACAAAAAUUGGAGCCAUUAAACACAAAACAGUUAUCUGAUAAUAUGAAGGUACCAUAACAUCCCACUUGUGCCCUUGCGGAAUAGUGCCUCGCAUCUGCAGAACCAUUCUUGC
This 350-nucleotide unclassified non-coding RNA is filed under the name Hevea brasiliensis (rubber tree). Lineage: Eukaryota; Viridiplantae; Streptophyta; Magnoliopsida; Malpighiales; Euphorbiaceae. The record is from RNAcentral.